Molecule: transfer RNA, 71 nt
Filed under: Loxodonta africana (African savanna elephant)
Lineage: Eukaryota; Metazoa; Chordata; Mammalia; Proboscidea; Elephantidae
Rfam family: tRNA
About the family: Transfer RNA (tRNA) molecules are approximately 80 nucleotides in length. Their secondary structure includes four short double-helical elements and three loops (D, anti-codon, and T loops).
Source: Rfam by way of RNAcentral
GCAGUGGUGGUUCAGUGGUAGAAUUCUCACCUUCCAUGCAGGAGACCUGGGUUUGAUUCACAGCCAAUGUA